This 73-nucleotide transfer RNA is filed under the name Schistocerca americana (American grasshopper). RNAcentral's name for it is "tRNA-Tyr". It matches the Rfam family "tRNA". From Rfam's summary of the family: Transfer RNA (tRNA) molecules are approximately 80 nucleotides in length. Their secondary structure includes four short double-helical elements and three loops (D, anti-codon, and T loops). The record is from RNAcentral. Lineage: Eukaryota; Metazoa; Arthropoda; Insecta; Orthoptera; Acrididae. RNAcentral also lists the same sequence under 4 other names.
CCUCUGGUAGCUAAGUUGGUAGAGCGGUGGACUGUAGAUCCAUAGGUCGCUGGUUCAAAUCCGGCCCAGAGGA